This 65-nucleotide transfer RNA is filed under the name Dipodomys ordii (Ord's kangaroo rat). It matches the Rfam family "tRNA". From Rfam's summary of the family: Transfer RNA (tRNA) molecules are approximately 80 nucleotides in length. Lineage: Eukaryota; Metazoa; Chordata; Mammalia; Rodentia; Heteromyidae. The record is from Rfam by way of RNAcentral.
GGUGGCUCAAUGGUAGAGUGCUUGCUUUGCAUGCACGAGGCCCUGGGUUCGAUUCCUUGGCACCA